UACGUAUGGUGCAAGCGUUAUCCGGAUUUACUGGGUGUAAAGGGAGCGUAGGCGGCGCGUUAAGCCUGGUGUGAAAGCCCGCGGCCCAACCGCGGGACUGCAUUGGGAACUGGCGCGCUGGAGUGCCGGAGGGGUAGGCGGAAUUCCUAGUGUAGCGGUGAAAUGCGUAGAUAUUAGGAGGAACACCAGUGGCGAAGGCGGCCUACUGGACGGUGACUGACGCUGAGGCUCGAAAGCGUGGGGAGCAAACAGG
Molecule: ribosomal RNA, 253 nt
Filed under: uncultured bacterium
Lineage: Bacteria
Description: partial 16S ribosomal RNA
Rfam family: Bacterial small subunit ribosomal RNA
Source: RNAcentral